RNAcentral lists this ribosomal RNA (366 nucleotides) under uncultured Bacteroidota bacterium. Its description in RNAcentral is "bacterial SSU rRNA". It matches the Rfam family "Bacterial small subunit ribosomal RNA", at positions 527 to 896 of the family's 1533-position model. Lineage: Bacteria; Pseudomonadati; Bacteroidota. The record is from RNAcentral.
GGAGGGUGCAAGCGUUAUCCGGAUUCACUGGGUUUAAAGGGAGCGCAGGCGGAUUGGUAAGUCAGUGGUGAAAGGCUUAAGCUUAACUUGGGAACUGCCAUUGAUACUAUUAGUCUUGAAUGUCGUUGAGGUUUGCGGAAUGGGUCAUGUAGCGGUGAAAUGCAUAGAUAUGACCCGGAACACCUAUUGCGAAGGCAGCAGGCUAAACAAACAUUGACACUGAGGCACGAAAGCGUGGGGAUCAAACAGGAUUAGAUACCCUGGUAGUCCACGCCCUAAACGAUGGUUACUCGACAUMAGCGAUACACUGUWUGUGUCUGAGCGAAAGCAUUAAGUAUCCCACCUGGGAAGUACGACCGCAAGUUG